UUAAAUCUUUGACCUUUUUUGGUUAAGGGAUAUGGCCACUCCGUGUUUAGCGCGGUCGCCUAAAAUGUAUGGUUGGUCUCAUCAAGUUGAGAUGUGUAAUAAUAUUUAUUUCGCAAAACGCUUGAUAAGCUACCAAGUUUUGAUCUAUCCAACUCUGUUAGAUGUGGUCAAAACAAAUAUUUUUG
This 185-nucleotide unclassified non-coding RNA is filed under the name uncultured Archaeospora. RNAcentral describes it as "partial internal transcribed spacer 2". The record is from RNAcentral. Lineage: Eukaryota; Fungi; Glomeromycota; Glomeromycetes; Archaeosporales; Archaeosporaceae.